CAGGAGUUAAGGCAGAUGUUGAGGCACACGGGUGACACCAGACACACACCAAGCACAUUGUUUGGACAUUCAAUCAUGACAUGAUCCAUGUGGAUGCUGUCCAUUGAGGAAAGAGUUUGUUCAGCGGUUUCUGGACAGAAUGAAUCCCAAAGAUGGGAAAAAGUGCACAUCCAGACAAGGAGCAAGCAAAAAGACAAGGAACUUGGUGCAGAGAAAAGCUGUGGUCAUUAACCCCCAUGUGAACAGCUUCAUGCAGCAGGC
Long non-coding RNA from Paramisgurnus dabryanus, 261 nucleotides. RefSeq lists it as uncharacterized. The record is from RefSeq and is a predicted model, not a curated record. NCBI's taxonomy places the organism in Eukaryota, Metazoa, Chordata, Actinopteri, Cypriniformes, Cobitidae.